GACGAACGCUGGCGGCGUGCCUAAUACAUGCAAGUCGAACGCUUCUUUCCUCCCGAGUGCUUGCACUCAAUUGGAAAGAGGAGUGGCGGACGGGUGAGUAACACGUGGGUAACCUACCCAUCAGAGGGGGAUAACACUUGGAAACAGGUGCUAAUACCGCAUAACAGUUUAUGCCGCAUGGCAUAAGAGCGAAAGGCGCUUUCGGGUGUCGCUGAUGGAUGGACCCGCGGUGCAUUAGCUAGUUGGUGAGGUAACGGCUCACCAAGGCCACGAUGCAUAGCCGACCUGAGAGGGUGAUCGGCCACACUGGGACUGAGACACGGCCCAGACUCCUACGGGAGGCAGCAGUAGGGAAUCUUCGGCAAUGGACGAAAGUCUGACCGAGCAACGCCGCGUGAGUGAAGAAGGUUUUCGGAUCGUAAAACUCUGUUGUUAGAGAAGAACAAGGACGUUAGUAACUGAACGUCCCCUGACGGUAUCUAACCAGAAAGCCACGGCUAACUACGUG
This 508-nucleotide ribosomal RNA is filed under the name uncultured bacterium. RNAcentral's name for it is "partial 16S ribosomal RNA". It matches the Rfam family "Bacterial small subunit ribosomal RNA", at positions 28 to 507 of the family's 1533-position model. The record is from RNAcentral.